Molecule: long non-coding RNA, 681 nt
Organism: Ananas comosus (pineapple)
Lineage: Eukaryota; Viridiplantae; Streptophyta; Magnoliopsida; Poales; Bromeliaceae
Exons: 6
Source: RefSeq, a predicted model, not a curated record
CUCAUCCCUAUCCUUAACCCUCCAGCACGACUCCUGGACCCUUGUAGAUGCUGUUAGAGCUCAGAGAAGGGCUUCUUCACCUCCUCCACUUUCUCUCUCUAGGGUUUCUCUCUCUUCGAUUGGAGAUCGCCGAAUCGAGCUUAUUUCGUGCCGCGUUCGUUGCUCGCUGGUUUGGAAACACAAGGGAGGUCUUUGGGUCAUGGGGAGAAGUAUUUUUACUGAGUUUCUGUGAGGUUCUCACCAAGGAAAGUUGAUUCUCAGCUUUGGAGAGCAGUAAAAAAAGAGUUAUUUUGGCUGUGAAUUAUCAGUGAAAAGUUGCUUUAAGGCUGGACUAAGCAGGUUCUUGAACCACUUUGAGCUGAGCCUGGGCUCUUAGAAGUUGGUUUGGAGGAUAUUUUAACCAAGGUGUUUGUACGCAGCGAGAGUGCUACCGACCUUGGGAUCACCUUCAGUUGGCAUUGGAGAGCAAUUAUAGGCUUAACUUGAGCAGGGCUGAGGCUUGAUUGAGCUGAAUUUCGGGACUCUUGUGGACUGAUUUGAGCCUAGUAAUAGAGCCAUCUACCGGAGAGGAUAGAGAUUGUUGCAAGGAAGUCGUGUUUAGCUAGACAUUGCUAGGAGCUUGCUAGUCGAUCACCUUGCUACUCGGGCUACGGCCGAGGGUGAUGUCCAGUGUAUAGAGAG